RNAcentral lists this non-coding RNA (146 nucleotides) under uncultured Pelagophyceae. Lineage: Eukaryota; Pelagophyceae. The record is from RNAcentral.
AUGGAAGGAAGGGGUCCCUCUUUCACGUUUUUGUUUCUGGAUGAUUGAUGAUUUUCUUUUGGAGGGAGGGGUCUGACUGAGGACGGAGGCGAGGGUGGGUAGGUGGUGUCGAUUUGGGGAGGGAUCUUAAUGGCGGGAAACAAACA